RNAcentral lists this ribosomal RNA (429 nucleotides) under bacterium. RNAcentral describes it as "partial 16S ribosomal RNA". It matches the Rfam family "Bacterial small subunit ribosomal RNA", at positions 355 to 776 of the family's 1533-position model. The record is from RNAcentral.
UAGGGAAUCUUCCACAAUGGACGCAAGUCUGAUGGAGCAACGCCGCGUGAGUGAAGAAGGUUUUCGGAUCGUAAAGCUCUGUUGUUGGUGAAGAAGGAUAGAGGCAGUAACUGGUCUUUAUUUGACGGUAAUCAACCAGAAAGUCACGGCUAACUACGUGCCAGCAGCCGCGGUAAUACGUAGGUGGCAAGCGUUGUCCGGAUUUAUUGGGCGUAAAGCGAGCGCAGGCGGAAUGAUAAGUCUGAUGUGAAAGCCCACGGCUCAACCGUGGAACUGCAUCGGAAACUGGCAUUAUUGAGUGCAGAAGAGGAGAGUGGAAUUCCAUGUGUAGCGGUGGAAUGCGUAGAUAUAUGGAAGAACACCAGUGGCGAAGGCGGCUCUCUGGUCUGCAACUGACGCUGAGGCUCGAAAGCAUGGGUAGCGAACAGG